Molecule: small RNA, 124 nt
Filed under: Marmota monax (woodchuck)
Lineage: Eukaryota; Metazoa; Chordata; Mammalia; Rodentia; Sciuridae
Source: RNAcentral
GCCAGGUAUGGUAGUGCAUGUCUGUAAUCCCAGUGGCUGGGAGGCUGAGGCCGGAGGAUCGCAAGUUCAAAACCAUCCUCAGGAAAAGCAAGGUGCUAAGCAACUCAGGAAGACCCUGUCUCUA